Molecule: transfer RNA, 58 nt
Filed under: Loxodonta africana (African savanna elephant)
Lineage: Eukaryota; Metazoa; Chordata; Mammalia; Proboscidea; Elephantidae
Rfam family: tRNA
About the family: Transfer RNA (tRNA) molecules are approximately 80 nucleotides in length. Their secondary structure includes four short double-helical elements and three loops (D, anti-codon, and T loops).
Source: Rfam by way of RNAcentral
GUGGUUCAGGGGUAGAAUUCUCACCUUCCAUGUGGGAGACCCAGGUUUGAUUCCUGGC